ACUCCUACGGGAAGGCAGCAGUGGGGAAUCUUGGACAAUGGGGGCAACCCUGAUCCAGCCAUGCCGCGUGAGUGAUGAAGGCCUUAGGGUCGUAAAGCUCUUUCGCCUGUGAUGAUAAUGACAGUAGCAGGUAAAGAAACCCCGGCUAACUCCGUGCCAGCAGCCGCGGUAAUACGGAGGGGUUAGCGUUGUUCGGAAUUACUGGGCGUAAAGCGCGCGUAGGCGGAUUAGUCAGUUAGAGGUGAAAUCCCAGGGCUCAACCCUGGAACUGCCUUUAAUACUGCUAGUCUUGAGUUCGAGAGAGGUGAGUGGAAUUCCGAGUGUAGAGGUGAAAUUCGUAGAUAUUCGGAGGAACACCAGUGGCGAAGGCGGCUCACUGGCUCGAUACUGACGCUGAGGUGCGAAAGUGU
RNAcentral lists this ribosomal RNA (410 nucleotides) under uncultured bacterium. RNAcentral's name for it is "bacterial SSU rRNA". It matches the Rfam family "Bacterial small subunit ribosomal RNA", at positions 335 to 762 of the family's 1533-position model. The record is from RNAcentral.